UACGAAGGGGGCUAGCGUUGCUCGGAAUUACUGGGCGUAAAGGGCGCGUAGGCGGUUCGCUAAGUUGAAUGUGAAAACUCUGGGCUUAACCCAGAGCCUGCAUUCAAUACUGGCGGGCUAGAGUUCUGGAGGGGAUAGCGGAAUUCCUGGUGUAGCGGUGAAAUGCGUAGAUAUCAGGAGGAACACCGGUGGCGAAGGCGGCUAUCUGGACAGAGUCUGACGCUGAGGCGCGAAAGCUAGGGGAGCAAACAGG
This 253-nucleotide ribosomal RNA is filed under the name uncultured bacterium. Its description in RNAcentral is "partial 16S ribosomal RNA". It matches the Rfam family "Bacterial small subunit ribosomal RNA", at positions 524 to 776 of the family's 1533-position model. The record is from RNAcentral.